UGCGUAGGUGGUUUCUUAAGUCAGAGGUGAAAGGCUACGGCUCAACCGUAGUAAGCCUUUGAAACUGGGAAACUUGAGUGCAGGAGAGGAGAGUGGAAUUCCUAGUGUAGCGGUGAAAUGCGUAGAUAUUAGGAGGAACACCAGUUGCGAAGGCGGCUCUCUGGACUGUAACUGACACUGAGGCACGAAAGCGUGGGGAGCAACA
Molecule: ribosomal RNA, 205 nt
Filed under: uncultured bacterium
Lineage: Bacteria
Description: partial 16S ribosomal RNA
Rfam family: Bacterial small subunit ribosomal RNA
Source: RNAcentral